AACUGUUUUCAUAACCGCAGCUAUCUGAUGGUUUUCCAGCAGUUUUAAUGGUGAAAAUUGGAAGAGCAGCGAUUCAAUUUGAUUUUGCCACGAAUUUUAAAGAACCGAAGCUAAUCCACCUUUUUUUUUUGCGAUAUUUCAAUCUCCCCCUUCCCAAAAACACAACAACACUCAGCAACUGCAUAAAAAAAAACAAAGAAACCUAAAGAGAAAAGAGGAAAAAACAGAGAAGAAGAGGGAAGAGAGGAAGGAGCCGGGCCGGCGUUGCUGGGUUUUCCGCCGCUGCUGGGUUCUCCGCCGCCAUCGCGUAGCCGUGCCGUCGGAAAGCCAGAACCGCAAGAGAAAGAACCGCGAAGAGAGAGGGAGAUCGCAUCAGCUCACCGCGAAGCCAGUGUAGUCGUCGUCCUCAUCGCGGGUCUUCACUCUUCACCAUUGCGUCUUGCCACCGUCGCCACCACUAAGCUUGCCGUCGUCGCCACUGAAGCUGAAGAGAGAGAGAGAGAGAGUUCGCAAAGAGAGGGAGUGCACGCGCUCACGAAGGAGAAGAACGACGAAGAGUGAAGGAGAAGCAGAAGACGAUGAACGCAGGGGAGAAGAAGGAGGUCCGUUCUCGCACCGUCCUUCUCUGCUGCCGCCGCUGCCGUCGAUUGGGGUCAAGGCCGUCGCCGUCGCACCCUGUUCCCGUCGCCAUUAGGGUUUGCUGCUGCUGCCAUUGAUAGAGUUGCCGCUGGGAGGAGCCGAAUAGGGAGAGGAAGUCGCCAUCGCACACGCCGCCACCAGUUACAACCGUCGCUGAAACCAGGACAGAUUCACUGUUUGAGGAAAACAAAUGAUCUUCUGAAUCAAGAAGUGUCAAAAUUGCAGAAACAAAUUCAAAGUUUGAAACAGAAAAGUGAAAUGAAAGAUGUGGGAAAUCAAAAGCUUCGCAAAAAUAUUAAGGAAGCUACAACAUUGGCAGCAGAUGAGUCUUCUAAGCAUAAAGCAAUGCUAGAAAUUUUUGAGUCCACUAUUAUUCAGUGUGAUUUGUAUAGAACAUAUGAGUCACUAUAAGUCAGCUCCACAACAAGGCCAGAAACGGGGUAGAAGUCACCCCACAGGGUCUGGGAAGAAACAACAGCUGCCUUCUCUUGGUUGAAAUAAUCUCUUCUUGAUCUGAGAUUUUGGUUGAGUAGUUUUAUAUACAUUAAUUUCACUAUUCCAACAGGCUUGCUUGAUGAGGUUGUAAAUCUUGUUGAGGCACCUAUUACAGUGCUUGGAAAGUUUAAAGAAACCUUCUUGGCCCUUCCAAAAGAACUUUUGACCAUGGUUAUGCAAAAGCAUCAGAAAUAUUUUGCUCUAUGUGAUGAUGGACAGAUGUUGCCUUAUUUUAUUGAUGUUGCAAAUGGAGCAAUUGAUGAGACUACUGUGAGGAAAGGAAAUGAAGCUGUCCUCAGGUGUUCUCCCAUCAUUUAUAUAUUGUCUAUUGUAAUCUCCUUAUUUUUGUCUAGUUAAUUGCUUGCUUGCAAAAACAUCUCAUGCAAUUGGCUGAUGCUCAUCUGUUAAUAAUGAUUUUCUACUUAAAAAUUC
Arachis ipaensis is the source of this 1566-nucleotide non-coding RNA. The record is from RefSeq and is a predicted model, not a curated record. Lineage: Eukaryota; Viridiplantae; Streptophyta; Magnoliopsida; Fabales; Fabaceae.